AUUGAACGCUGGCGGCAUGCCUUACACAUGCAAGUCGAACGGUAACAGGUCUUCGGAUGCUGACGAGCGGCGAACGGGUGAGUAAUACAUCGGAACGUGCCUAGUAGUGGGGGAUAACUACUCGAAAGAGUGGCUAAUACCGCAUGAGAUCUACGGAUGAAAGCAGGGGAUCGCAAGACCUUGUGCUACUAGAGCGGCCGAUGGCAGAUUAGGUAGUUGGUGGGAUAAAAGCUUACCAAGCCGACGAUCUGUAGCUGGUCUGAGAGGACGAUCAGCCACACUGGGACUGAGACACGGCCCAGACUCCUACGGGAGGCAGCAGUGGGGAAUUUUGGACAAUGGGCGAAAGCCUGAUCCAGCAAUGCCGCGUGCAGGAUGUAGGCCUUCGGGUUGUAAACUGCUUUUGUACGGAACGAAAAGCCCUGGGUUAAUACCCUGGGGUCAUGACGGUACCGUAAGAAUAAGCACCGGUUAACUACGUGCCAGCCGCCGCCGUAA
RNAcentral lists this ribosomal RNA (498 nucleotides) under uncultured bacterium. RNAcentral describes it as "partial 16S ribosomal RNA". It matches the Rfam family "Bacterial small subunit ribosomal RNA", at positions 30 to 523 of the family's 1533-position model. The record is from RNAcentral.